Lagenorhynchus albirostris (white-beaked dolphin) is the source of this 513-nucleotide long non-coding RNA. RefSeq lists it as uncharacterized. Lineage: Eukaryota; Metazoa; Chordata; Mammalia; Artiodactyla; Delphinidae. The transcript has 2 exons. The record is from RefSeq and is a predicted model, not a curated record.
UCUAGGACUGAGCAAAAUGGCUACAAGGACAAGAUAAAAGCAGCCCUACAAGGCCCUUGGGAGGAGUCAGAUCAUUCAUCUGAGAAUUCCAUCUUCAAAGUAAAAGAUACAGGGGAAGUCACUUGAGAAACCGACUAAAGAUGAUUCCAAGCCCGAGUGUCAUCAGCAGAUAACUCACUGAUAUUGAUCUCUUCUUCAUCGUAAACAUCCACUUCCGUCAGCCGGAUGAGCAUUCUGGACAAAAUGCUGAGGAAUUGCAGAUUUUAACUGGCCACAUGGUUUAAGCCAUUAGAAGUAGGACUCCAACAGGAGCUGAACAAAGGUUGCUUCAAAAAAGAAUGAACUGACAUUUCAAUAAUAUCUUAAGAGUCUUGCGUAAGUGCAAAUUGCUAUCUUAUAUUAACUGAUAUGGCUGUAGGAAGACAACAAAAUUCACUGUGCGGGACAUAAAAGGCUGGCAUCACAUUUCUCUCCUCCUAAGGCCAGGAAAAGAAAUAAAAUGAUUUUUCUCUU